Molecule: ribosomal RNA, 483 nt
Filed under: uncultured bacterium
Lineage: Bacteria
Description: partial 16S ribosomal RNA
Rfam family: Bacterial small subunit ribosomal RNA
Source: RNAcentral
AAUCAACGCUGGCGGCGUGCCUCAGACAUGCAAGUCGAACGAUUAAGACUUCCAUCGGGAAGUGCAUAAAGUGGCGCACGGGUGAGUAACACGUAAGUAAUCUACCCUCGAGUGGGGAAUAACGUUCGGAAACGAACGCUAAUACCGCAUAACGCAGCGGCACCGCAAGGUGACAGUUGUUAAAGGAGUAAUUCGCUUGAGGAGGAGCUUGCGGCAGAUUAGCUAGUUGGUAAGGUAACGGCUUACCAAGGCUACGAUCUGUAUCCGGUCUAAGAGGACGGUCGGACACACUGACACUGAAUAACGGGUCAGACUCCUACGGGAGGCAGCAGUCGGGAAUUUUGGGCAAUGGGCGAAAGCCUGACCCAGCAACGCCGCGUGAAGGAUGAAGUAUUUCGGUAUGUAAACUUCGAAAGAAUGGGAAGAAUAAAUGACGGUACCAUUUAUAAGCUCCGGCUAACUACGUGCCAGCCGCCGCCGUAA